Molecule: non-coding RNA, 747 nt
Organism: Microcebus murinus (gray mouse lemur)
Lineage: Eukaryota; Metazoa; Chordata; Mammalia; Primates; Cheirogaleidae
Source: RefSeq, a predicted model, not a curated record
AAAUCUGUGUCUUCAUUCUAGAUUUUGCUCCUGGGCUCCUGACCUGUUUAUCCAUCAGCUUCCUGGACAUUUCCUCCCGGAUGCCCCACAGGAUUGCCCCUCCCCACCUGGCUAUUGGGUUGGCCAGCGCGCUUGCUAUACGUCAUUCAUCCGCGCCACCCGGAAGCCAGCGCAAUUGAUACCAACCGUUCUUUUUGCCGGCUCUAAGGAGCCUAUGAUGGCGACUCCCCCUAAACUGCGGGCGGUGGAGGCCACGGGGGAGAAACUGAUGCGCUACGAGACCUUCAUCAGUGAUGUGCUGCAGCGGGACUUGCGAACGGUGCUGGACCAUCGAGACAAGGUAUAUGAGCAGCUGGCCAAAUACCUUCAACUGAGAAAUGUCAUUGAGCGACUCCAGGAAGCUAAGCACUCGGAGUUAUAUUUGCAGGUGGAUUUGGGCUGUAACUUCUUCGUUGACACAGUGGUCCCAGAUACUUCACGCAUCUACGUGGCACUGGGAUAUGGUUUUUUCCUGGAGUUGACGCUGGCAGAAGCUCUUAAGUUCAUUGAUCGUAAGAGCUCUCUCCUCACAGAGCUCAGCAACAGCCUCACCAAGGACUCCAUGAAUAUCAAAGCCCAUAUCCACAUGUUGCUAGAGGGGCUUAGAGAACUACAAGGCCUACAGAAUUUCCUAGAGAAGCCUCAUCAUUGACUUCUUCCUCCAUUCUCCAACAUUAAAGAGCGUGAAUGCCUUUGAAAAAAAAAAAA